Molecule: non-coding RNA, 87 nt
Filed under: unclassified sequences
Source: RNAcentral
AUUGUAAUGUAGCUGCCAUCUCUAUCCUAGUUGGUGUGGUUGGUUGGUUGGUAACGGUUGUAAGCCCGUAUAGAUACAGAACACAGU